AAAUUAAGUCAGAGAUUGAAGUUCUGCCACAAGCCAAGCAAGGCCUGGCACCACCAGAAUCUGGAAAAGACAGAGAAGGAGCCCCCCGGGAGGCUUCCAAGGGAGCAUGGCCCUGCCAACACCUAGACUUUGGACUUGUGUACUCCAGAACUGUGAGAGAAUAAAUUUCUGCUUUCAGCCACCUCAUUUGUGGAAUUCAUUAUGGCAGCCCUGGGAAACUAUGCGAUCUGUUUCCUAAAAUGUUAGUCUAUCUUCACCUUUCAAAGUUCUUCCUGUUCUUCAGAGAGGUAGAGGAGGAGAAAGAACUAUCUCCAGAGAGUGAACCCUGCUCCUUGAGUCAACUUCUUGCCAGCACUAGGCAAUCGGUUCCUGGAGCUGUAAAGAGGAGUCCGGAUCUCUGCAGGUUUCUAUUUUCCAACACAAAAGUUAAAGAAGGAUUAAUAACACGCACCUUACAAGUGGAUGAGGAUUAAAUGACAAUAUCCGGAAAACGCCUAGUACAGCCCGACCUAUGAACAAGUCUUAAUAAGACAAAUCAACUGAAAGGAAGGCACAAAAGUGCACAACAGGAACACUGAGGAGAAGAUGAACCCUGCCUUCAAUGUCCUGGGAUAAAUUAAUUCGCGAGUGCCGAGAC
This 637-nucleotide long non-coding RNA is filed under the name Equus caballus (horse). RNAcentral describes it as "lncRNA (ENSECAG00000055014.1)". The record is from RNAcentral. Lineage: Eukaryota; Metazoa; Chordata; Mammalia; Perissodactyla; Equidae.